Molecule: ribosomal RNA, 488 nt
Filed under: uncultured bacterium
Lineage: Bacteria
Description: bacterial SSU rRNA
Rfam family: Bacterial small subunit ribosomal RNA
Source: RNAcentral
GACGAACGCUGGCGGCGUGCCUAACACAUGCAAGUCGAACGAAGUUUUUAUGGAAUGCGACUUCGGUCAAAUGAAAUUUAAACUUAGUGGCGGACGGGUGAGUAACGCGUGAGCAACCUGCCUUUCAGAGGGGGAUAACGUUUGGAAACGAACGCUAAUACCGCAUGAUAUAUUUGAAUCGCAUGAUUUGAAUAUCAAAGGAGCAAUCCGCUGAAAGAUGGGCUCGCGUCCGAUUAGGUAGUUGGUGGGGUAACGGCCUACCAAGCCGACGAUCGGUAGCCGGACUGAGAGGUUGAACGGCCACAUUGGGACUGAGACACGGCCCAGACUCCUACGGGAGGCAGCAGUGGGGAAUAUUGCACAAUGGGGGGAAACCCUGAUGCAGCAACGCCGCGUGAGGGAAGACGGUUUUCGGAUUGUAAAACCUCUGUCCUCUGUGAAGAAGAAAGUGACGGUAGCAGAGGAGGAAGCCACGGGCUAACUACGUG